AGAGUUUGAUCAUGGCUCAGAUUGAACGCUGGCGGCAGGCCUAACACAUGCAAGUCGAACGGUAACAGGAAGCAGCUUGCUGCUUCGCUGACGAGUGGCGGACGGGUGAGUAAUGUCUGGGAAGCUGCCUGAUGGAGGGGGAUAACUACUGGAAACGGUAGCUAAUACCGCAUAAUGUCGCAAGACCAAAGAGGGGGACCUUCGGGCCUCUUGCCAUCGGAUGUGCCCAGAUGGGAUUAGCUUGUUGGUGGGGUAACGGCUCACCAAGGCGACGAUCCCUAGCUGGUCUGAGAGGAUGACCAGCCACACUGGAACUGAGACACGGUCCAGACUCCUACGGGAGGCAGCAGUGGGGAAUAUUGCACAAUGGGCGCAAGCCUGAUGCAGCCAUGCCGCGUGUAUGAAGAAGGCCUUCGGGUUGUAAAGUACUUUCAGCGGGGAGGAAGGGAGUAAAGUUAAUACCUUUGCUCAUUGACGUUACCCGCAGAAGAAGCACCGGCUAACUCCGUGCCAGCAGCCGCGGUAAUACGGAGGGUGCAAGCGUUAAUCGGAAUUACUGGGCGUAAAGCGCACGCAGGCGGUUUGUUAAGUCAGAUGUGAAAUCCCCGGGCUCAACCUGGGAACUGCAUCUGAUACUGGCAAGCUUGAGUCUCGUAGAGGGGGGUAGAAUUCCAGGUGUAGCGGUGAAAUGCGUAGAGAUCUGGAGGAAUACCGGUGGCGAAGGCGGCCCCCUGGACGAAGACUGACGCUCAGGUGCGAAAGCGUGGGGAGCAAACAGGAUUAGAUACCCUGGUAGUCCACGCCGUAAACGAUGUCGACUUGGAGGUUGUGCCCUUGAGGCGUGGCUUCCGGAGCUAACGCGUUAAGUCGACCGCCUGGGGAGUACGGCCGCAAGGUUAAAACUCAAAUGAAUUGACGGGGGCCCGCACAAGCGGUGGAGCAUGUGGUUUAAUUCGAUGCAACGCGAAGAACCUUACCUGGUCUUGACAUCCACGGAAGUUUUCAGAGAUGAGAAUGUGCCUUCGGGAACCGUGAGACAGGUGCUGCAUGGCUGUCGUCAGCUCGUGUUGUGAAAUGUUGGGUUAAGUCCCGCAACGAGCGCAACCCUUAUCCUUUGUUGCCAGCGGUCCGGCCGGGAACUCAAAGGAGACUGCCAGUGAUAAACUGGAGGAAGGUGGGGAUGACGUCAAGUCAUCAUGGCCCUUACGACCAGGGCUACACACGUGCUACAAUGGCGCAUACAAAGAGAAACGACCUCGCGAGAGCAAGCGGACCUCAUAAAGUGCGUCGUAGUCCGGAUUGGAGUCUGCAACUCGACUCCAUGAAGUCGGAAUCGCUAGUAAUCGUGGAUCAGAAUGCCACGGUGAAUACGUUCCCGGGCCUUGUACACACCGCCCGUCACACCAUGGGAGUGGGUUGCAAAAGAAGUAGGUAGCUUAACCUUCGGGAGGGCGCUUACCACUUUGUGAUUCAUGACUGGGGUGAAGUCGUAACAAGGUA
Molecule: ribosomal RNA, 1500 nt
Filed under: metagenome
Description: bacterial SSU rRNA
Rfam family: Bacterial small subunit ribosomal RNA
Source: RNAcentral